This is a long non-coding RNA of Leptidea sinapis, 1448 nucleotides long. RefSeq lists it as uncharacterized. The record is from RefSeq and is a predicted model, not a curated record. The transcript has 2 exons. NCBI's taxonomy places the organism in Eukaryota, Metazoa, Arthropoda, Insecta, Lepidoptera, Pieridae.
GAGUUAUGUCGUUUUGUUUAUUUUAUGUAUUACAUUUGUGGGAGUUAAGCUAAACGUUGUAAUAAACAGCAAAAAUGGAAUCCACAAUAAUUUUGUACAAACUGAAAAAAUUCAUGGCGUUUUUGAAGAAAAUAAUAAAGAAUUAAUUGCACCUAAAUUCCUUCAUGAUCUAACUCGGGUACGAAGGCGAGUACGUAAGCCUCAGGAUGAUGAAGAAGGUUCUGAUGAUGAUGAUGAUGGAGGUUUUAUGUCUCUUAAUAAUCAACCCCAAGGCGACCACCAUUUCAUUGCUAAUGAUUUAAAGUGUCCUACUGGUGAAGUCAAGUCUCCAUGGGGAAAAUGCAUCACAUGUGCGGAAUAUAAAGAGAAAAAGUUGAGCAAACCUGGCGAUAAGAAAUGCAAGACGUGAACUCUGAAAGUCAGACGCUGCCGUAAAACUUAAUUAUAGGAACUAAAUUAAUAUUAUAUAAGACACAAGUUUGUGACAAGUCUCCCUUUAUCGCAUCCCCUCGAUUCAAGAUCACUGAUCAAGCCACCGCCUCCAUCUUUAUCAAGCGCAGAUUAGGCUUCACAUGAACUACUGUUUUUACCUCUGGGCGGGCGCUCCCCAUCAUUAUCAUCAGCCGGAAGUCGUCCACUGCUGGACAAAGGCCUCUUCCAGAUUUCCACGACGAUCGGUCCUGCACAGCCCUCAUCCAACGUAUUUUGGCAAUCUUGAACAGAUCGUUGGUCCAUCUGAUGAGCGGCCUACCAACACUGCGUCUUCCGGUACGUUGUCGCCAUUCGAGGGCUUUACUGCCCCAACGGCCAUCUGUCCGUUGAACUAUGUACCCAUAGCUAAACUUCAGUUUUGCAAUCAUUUGGACUAUGUCGGUAGCUUUGGUUCUCCUACGGAUCUCCUCAUUUCCGAUUCGAUCGCGUAGGGAAACUCCAGAAACUCCCCAGUACCCGAUUAUUCAAUUUGACCGUAUACAACGAUGAGCGGCGCGAAACAUUGAUGAUCAAUUAGGCUUAAUUCUUUGGCGCUGCCUAUAGAUAUGGAUUCUCUCUUCAUCUUCUACUGAAAAUAUCACGGUACCUUCAGGAGUUGCUUGAGUUGAUACCAGCAGCUUGAUUCCACCGCUAGACAUUAUGUCAAAACGCAAAUUGGCACCCACAUCAGGUUAUACUUAUGGUAUUUAACAACCGCAUAUUUUGCCCUUCUCUACUCGCACAUCCACUUUUUAGAAUCAAUUACCGGCUGCAGUUUUCACGAACAGAUGCGACUCAGGAACCUUCAAGCAUCCCUAUGCUUAUGAACUUAAAGGCCGGCAACGCAUCUCUUGACCCCUUGUUAUGCCCAUGUCCAUGGGUGGUAUGUCCAUGGACUUACCACUCACUUCCCAUCAUAUCAACCUCUUGACCAUUUGCCCUCUUAUAUAAUAAAUAAAUGUUUUGAAACCUUAAAA